AGCAGCCGCGGUAAUUCCAGCUCCAAUAGCGUAUAUUAAAGUUGUUGCAGUUAAAAAGCUCGUAGUUGAAUUUCGGGGUUAGUAGAUUGGUCAUGCCUCUGGUAUGUACUGGUUUCACUGAUUCCUCCUUCCUGAUGAACCGUAAUGCCAUUUAUUUGGUGUUGCGGGGAAUUUGGACUGUUACUUUGAAAAAAUUAGAGUGUUUAAAGCAAGCUAACGCUUGAAUACAUUAGCAUGGAAUAAUGAAAUAGGACGUUCGAUCCUAUUUUGUUGGUUUCUAGGAUUGACGUAAUGAUUAAUAGGGAUAGUUGGGGGCAUUAGUAUUCAAUUGUCAGAGGUGAAAUUCUUGGAUUUAUUGAAGACUAACUACUGCGAAAGCAUUUGCCAAGGAUGUUUUCAUUAAUCAAGAACGAAAGUUAGGGGAUCGAAGACGAUCAGAUACCGUCGUAGUCUUAACCAUAAACUAUGCCGACUAGGGAUCGGAUGAUGUUAAUUUUUUAAUGACUCA
Molecule: ribosomal RNA, 508 nt
Filed under: uncultured Glomus
Lineage: Eukaryota; Fungi; Glomeromycota; Glomeromycetes; Glomerales; Glomeraceae
Description: SSU rRNA
Rfam family: Eukaryotic small subunit ribosomal RNA
Source: RNAcentral